UACGGAGGGUGCAAGCGUUAUCCGGAUUUAUUGGGUUUAAAGGGACCGUAGGCGGAUCUGUAAGUCAGUGGUGAAAUCUCAUAGCUUAACUAUGAAACUGCCAUUGAAACUGCAGGACUUGAGUAAAGUAGAAGUGGCUGGAAGAAGUAGUGUAGCGGUGAAAUGCAUAGAUAUUACUUAGAACACCAAUUGCGAAGGCAGGUCACUAUGUUUUAACUGACGCUGAUGGACGAAAGCGUGGGGAGCGAACAGG
This 253-nucleotide ribosomal RNA is filed under the name uncultured Chryseobacterium sp. RNAcentral's name for it is "partial 16S ribosomal RNA". It matches the Rfam family "Bacterial small subunit ribosomal RNA", at positions 524 to 776 of the family's 1533-position model. Lineage: Bacteria; Pseudomonadati; Bacteroidota; Flavobacteriia; Flavobacteriales; Weeksellaceae. The record is from RNAcentral.